Molecule: ribosomal RNA, 497 nt
Filed under: uncultured bacterium
Lineage: Bacteria
Description: partial 16S ribosomal RNA
Rfam family: Bacterial small subunit ribosomal RNA
Source: RNAcentral
GAUGAACGCUGGCGGCGUGCCUAAUACAUGCAAGUCGAGCGAACAGACGAGGAGCUUGCUCCUCUGACGUUAGCGGCGGACGGGUGAGUAACACGUGGAUAACCUACCUAUAAGACUGGGAUAACUUCGGGAAACCGGAGCUAAUACCGGAUAAUAUAUUGAACCGCAUGGUUCAAUAGUGAAAGACGGUUUUGCUGUCCCUUAUAGAUGGAUCCGCGUCGCAUUAGCUAGUUGGUAAGGUAACGGGUUACCAAGGCAACGAUGCGUAGCCGACCUGAGAGGGUGAUCAGCCACACUGGAACUGAGACACGGUCCAGACUCCUACGGGAGGCAGCAGUAGGGAAUCUUCCGCAAUGGGCGAAAGCCUGACGGAGCAACGCCGCGUGAGUGAUGAAGGUCUUCGGAUCGUAAAACUCUGUUAUUAGGGAAGAACAAAUGUGUAAGUAACUAUGCACGUCUUGACGGUACCUAAUCAGAGAGCCACGGCUAACUACGUG